RNAcentral lists this long non-coding RNA (244 nucleotides) under Rosa chinensis. RNAcentral's name for it is "sRNA RchiOBHm_Chr6g0263271". The record is from RNAcentral. Lineage: Eukaryota; Viridiplantae; Streptophyta; Magnoliopsida; Rosales; Rosaceae.
UUGCAAGCAUGCUGAUAUCACUGUAGGAAAAAUUUAGAAAGUAAAGUUCCAGAUAUUGCAAAAUCUGGAUUUACAUCGGCAUGGUUGCCGCCAUCAACUCAUUCCUUUGCCCCGGAAGGUUACCUCCCUUAGAACAUAUAUUCCCUCAAUUCUAAAUAUGGAUCUGAGCACCGAUUAAAAAUUAUGCAGCUAAAUAUGUGAAGGAGUAUAUUGAAGGAGCAAAACCAAUUUUUUCCGUUGGGGA